UGCGGUUAUACUUUGAGGCUAAACGAAAUAUAUUAGAGUUAGUUAGGUGAAAAGGAUGUAAAUAAAUUAUUAGUAGUAAAAGGUGAAAUUAGAUUGUUAUUAAAUAAUUAAAAUAUAUCAAAACUGAAGCUAAAAAAGUUUGAUUAAAGACUAGGAUUAGAUACCCUAUUAUUUUAAAUUUAAAUAUUAAUAAACUCUAGAUAAGUAGUAGAUAGGUACUUAAAAAUUAAAAAAUUUGGCGGUGAUUUAAUCUUUUCAGAGGAACUUGUUUUUUAAUCGAUAAACCACGUUUAAUCUUACUUAUUUUGGUAUAAACAGUAUGUAUACCAUCAUUAACAGGUAAUUUUAAAAGAAAAAAUUACUAAAAAUAAUUAAUUAAAAAAAUUAGAUCAUGGUGCAGCUUAUAAAUAAGGUAAAAUGAGUUACAAUAAAGUUUUUUAUAUGAAUUAGUAAAGGAAGAGUUUACUAUAAAGGUGGAUUUGAUUGUAAAUGUGGAUUAAUAAGCUUAUUUGAUAUUGGUGCUAAAUCAUGUACAUAUCGCCCGUCGCUUUCG
This 553-nucleotide ribosomal RNA is filed under the name Metopograpsus frontalis. RNAcentral describes it as "partial small subunit ribosomal RNA". Lineage: Eukaryota; Metazoa; Arthropoda; Malacostraca; Decapoda; Grapsidae. The record is from RNAcentral.